GAUGAACGCUAGCGGCAGGCUUAAUACAUGCAAGUCGAACGGGAUCCGAGGUAGCAAUACUUUGGUGAGAGUGGCGCACGGGUGCGUAACGCGUAUGCAACCUACCUUUUACAGGGGGAUAGCCCAGAGAAAUUUGGAUUAAUACCCCAUGGUAUAAUUAAUUUGCAUGAAUUGAUUAUUAAAGUUCCAACGGUACAAGAUGAGCAUGCGUCCCAUUAGCUAGUUGGUGUGGUAACGGCAUACCAAGGCGACGAUGGGUAGGGGUCCUGAGAGGGAGAUCCCCCACACUGGUACUGAGACACGGACCAGACUCCUACGGGAGGCAGCAGUGAGGAAUAUUGGUCAAUGGUCGGAAGACUGAACCAGCCAUGCCGCGUGCAGGAAGAAGCAUCUAUGGUGUGUAAAACUGCUUUUGUACGGGAAGAAACACUCCUUCGUGAAAGGAGCUUGACGGUACCGUAAGAAUAAAGGAUCGGCUAACUCCGUGCCAGCAG
RNAcentral lists this ribosomal RNA (494 nucleotides) under uncultured bacterium. RNAcentral describes it as "bacterial SSU rRNA". It matches the Rfam family "Bacterial small subunit ribosomal RNA", at positions 28 to 514 of the family's 1533-position model. The record is from RNAcentral.